Molecule: ribosomal RNA, 218 nt
Filed under: uncultured bacterium
Lineage: Bacteria
Description: partial 16S ribosomal RNA
Rfam family: Bacterial small subunit ribosomal RNA
Source: RNAcentral
GAAUCUCAGUUCGGAUUGAAGGCUGAAAUUCGCCUUCAUGAAGCUGGAAUUGCUAGCAAUGGCAGGUCAGCAUACUGCCGUGAAUACGUUCCCGGGCCUUGUACACACCGCCCGUCACACCAUGAGAGUUGGGAAUACCCGAAGCCUGUGAGCUAACUGUAAGGAGGGCGCCGCCGAAGGUGGGAUUGAUGACUGGGGUGAAGUCGUAACAAGGUACC